This is a non-coding RNA of Misgurnus anguillicaudatus (oriental weatherfish), 1315 nucleotides long. The record is from RefSeq and is a predicted model, not a curated record. Lineage: Eukaryota; Metazoa; Chordata; Actinopteri; Cypriniformes; Cobitidae.
UUCCCAGCGGGCACCUUGACGUCAAUUUGACAUCAACAAAUAGUCAAGAUUUUGACCACCAUGUAUGACGUGCAUGAAUAUGCAUAUUUUCAUUAUAUUUUGUAAUUAUUUCCUUGUGGUUGUAAAGAGGCCCAACAAAGGUAUCAAACUGACAUGUUUUUUGUGGUCCCUAUAUCUCAGGUCAAUAUCAUUGACAUUAAAUUGAUGUUGAUUUGAUGUCAGGAAAUAAGAUGUCAAAUUGAUGUUAAAUUUAUGUCAAAACAAUGUCUGAAAAAGUAUAUUUAUUAUUCAUUGUAAAUCAAUGCGACUCAUUUUUAACAUCUUGAAAGUUGUAAUGGGGAGAGUUAAAAUGUAAUAAACACGUGCAAAUAAACUAUUGUUUUUUAUUAUUAUUAUAUUUUCAUAACAGUGUCUAAAAUAUAACAUUUUAAAUAUAAAUUUGAAGAAUACCAUUAAUAAUAAAAUAACAUCAAGAAGUUAAUAUGUUUCAUUCAUACAAGUCAGUUUGGAAUGUUUGAUCCUGACAAAAAAGAAGCGAGGUAAUCUCGCGAGAUUACACGAUACUGGAGAGUUUAACGGCUGUCUGCGUGAUCAUCGAGAAGUGCAUCGAGAGCCCUUCAAAUUAAACAUAGUGAUGGUGAUCUUGUCAAUGCUGAGAUUUUAAUGCAUCAACAGCCAUUACAUCUGUCUGGAUCAGGAUUGAACAAGAAACAGACAGCAAGAGUUGUCAGGUCAGAAACGUGAUGACACACAAACAUAAGAAACUUCACAGGCGGCAAUCUCUUUUUCCACCGGUGGGUGCUCAUCACAACCUCCAGCUUUACUGGACGCCAGGUGCUCUGGAGCGCUCAAAAGCUUUGAAGAGGUGGAAAGCAGUGCAGUCAUGUUUUCGUGUGAUUUUAGAUGCGAAUUGUAAAGUUAAAGGCAGAUCACCAUGCAACUUGGUGAAGUCAUGUGUCUUUCCAGAUGCCAAAAUCUGUACCCCUCAAAAAGACUUUAUUAAAUGCCAUGAUAGCCAAGAUGAGCCUGAAGAGGAGAUUUGGGAAGAUGCUGUUUCAUAAGUCUUUGCUUUGCCAGAUUAUCUGUGGUAGGGGUGUCUGCCAACGUGAUGCCUUGCUGGUCUGGUUUGAGUUUGAAGUCUCUCACAGACAGUCCAGAAGGUCUGGAGUCCAUCUUAGCUUUCAUUGAUGCUGUCAUCAUAUUUUAAGUGCAUAAGCCAGAAUGGAUAGGUGGUGGUGGCCAUAAAAAGACUGUCAACUAAACCAACAACAAAAUUUAUAUUUGCAGUAAUAAAUAAAAUGACUUUUAAACAUGA